Molecule: long non-coding RNA, 968 nt
Organism: Magnolia sinica
Lineage: Eukaryota; Viridiplantae; Streptophyta; Magnoliopsida; Magnoliales; Magnoliaceae
Exons: 2
Source: RefSeq, a predicted model, not a curated record
GGUUUCGGAUCCUACCCUAACAAUUCUUUUGGACGGUCCAGAUCAGAGCACGGGAUUUCUUCUUUUGUGUUGGUGGUGGUGGUGAUUCUUUCGUGACUACGGGCGGAUUCGUGAAUUGGGUCAUCGCCGUUCUUUGCUCAUUGUAAAUGGGGAAUCUGAAAAUGAACAGAAGUUGUGGAUUUCUUUCUUGAAGUUCUUCAGGAUACUACAAGCUUUACAGAAUUCCGUAUCGGGGUUAUUUGCCAGUCAGGGUCGUUUGCCAAUCAAAGCAGGAGGAAGAAGUCUGUGGAGAUCUGUAAUACUUCAUGUAUUUGACAAGAAAGAAAUGGUGGUUGGUUUUUAAAUUUCAAAUCAUCAGAUGGGUUCUCUCAAGAAAUGCAUUCAAAGAACUUGCAGUGGCAGAAAUGUUGAGGGAUCAGAAGUGUGGACAUGUCAGAAGAGAGACAAAAGUGACGGCUGAUUGGAAAUGGGUCCUUGAUUGGUAACUCGGGUGUCGUCUGGGCUGAGAACCGAAUGGUUCCAGUGACUUUUUAUGGUCUGCGGUUGGCUCAAAUGUAGCAGAACUGGAAUCCUUGAAAAGGCUGAUGGAUUUCUUCUUUUUUUUCCUUUUUGAUCCUCUCAUUCGAAGAGUGAUGGUGGAAAAGGUGAUUCGAAGAACGUUAUUGGUUGGGAGUCUAAUCCACGAUCCAAGCUGUCAAAAUUUAGUUACCUUUUCUAUCAAGAUCCUACUUCUAGUUUCAAAUUCUUAAUUUUCCAUGUGAGUAGAGAUGCAAAUGACAUUGCGGAUGCGUUGGAUUAGGAAGGUGUUUUGAGUGGGGGAAAAACUCUGGACUAGGGACUCUUUCUCCUUAGAUUGAUGUACUAUUUCGAUUUUCAUUUUAUUUUCUUUAAUUAAAUGUUAUCUUCAAAGAAAAAGAAGAAGAUUCUGAUAUUUUUUUUUAUAUAUUGCUUUUCAUGUUCAUGCAUCA